RNAcentral lists this unclassified non-coding RNA (254 nucleotides) under uncultured Gemmatimonadota bacterium. Its description in RNAcentral is "uncultured Gemmatimonadetes bacterium contains 16S-23S intergenic spacer region". It matches the Rfam family "Bacterial small subunit ribosomal RNA", at positions 524 to 776 of the family's 1533-position model. The record is from RNAcentral. Lineage: Bacteria; Pseudomonadati; Gemmatimonadota.
UACGGAGGGUGCAAGCGUUGUUCGGAAUCAUUGGGCGUAAAGCGCGCGCAGGCGGUUCUUUAAGUCGACCUGUGAAAGGCCGGGGCUCAACCCCGUGCUUGCAGGCGAUACUGGGGAACUGGAGACAGGUAGAGGCAAGCGGAAUUUCGGGUGUAGCGGUGGAAUGCGUAGAGAUCCGAAAGAACACCGGAGGCGAAGGCGGCUUGCUGGACCUGGUCUGACGCUGAGGCGCGAAAGCGUGGGGAGCGAACAGG